AUGGGGGGCGGGAACCCUGGUCCAGGGCUCCCUGGGAGCCCCUUCUCCCUGGAAAGGUGUCCACGAGGGUUAGCAAGUGAACACACACCCUGCCCGGCCCACGUAUCUCUGUCUGUCUCUCCUGAGCCGCACUGGCUCCUGAGCCCGUCCUGCUCUGUGGCUUCCGCUCAGCCCCAGGACUGCCCGUCGGACAUCCUGAUGGGAUGUUUCUGGCAGCCUCACCCGCCGGGUUGGGGGUGCCAAAGCCUGACCACGCUGACCACGCGUCUCUCUGUCUCCCUCCGCCGGCCAGUCCUGGUACCUGGGGUAGCAAGGGUCCUUGCCCCCUGCCCCUCUUCCAUCAUCAAUAAUCCCAGGGGGCAGCACAGCUGGCCCCUCCGAGCAAGCCCAGCCCGGCAGAGAAGACAAAACAACCCAUGCAGGCGGAAGAGGAAAAACCGAACUGAGACACGUGUGGGGGAGGGGCCAGGAAGACCCCCCACCCACCCACACCUCCCAGCCAAGCAGACAGAAAGCCAAGGCGCUGGACUGCAGUGCUGCCCUGCGAGAGCCGGCGCCUGCCUCAUCUCUGCACCUGCUGCUCCAACAGGGCCAGGAUGGAAGCACGCACGAGCACCUGCCCCUCCCCCGGCCCUGACUGCCCAGGUCCAGGUACUCGGCCUGAAACUGCAUCUCACAAGAUCCCCACCAAGAGACAGAUUUGUGUACCAUAGAGAAGUUUCUACAUGAGGAUUGAUGCCUUGAGGGGGAAAAAGUAAUAAGUACCUUCAAGAGCUCCUGCUUCUCAACUCUGCUCCAACAAGGCAAGAUUCUGAGAGUGGCUGUCCCUGGGAAGCAGACUCCAUUCUUGUGGCUCUCCCAUUGGCUCCUGAGACUUUCAUCAGAGAUGGGGCCCCUUUAACUGCUGGGAGCAUCCACUGUUGCUCAGGCACUGAAGCCGCUGUCAUGAGUGUGUGUCCUGACCAGAGAAGCUGAGCUUUGGUGAGAUGACAGUGCAAGAACUACAAACACGUGUGGUCAUCCUGGUGGAGAACUGAAUGCAGAUACUCAAAAAGGAAGGUAAAUUAAAGGGAGAAGAAUGAAAUCUCCUUUUUCUAUUUAAAGGACCUCCUGAGAGGAGAAGAGAGGCAGAGCUCUGGGAUUUUAGGUUUGGAAGUGAAUUUCUCCCUCAUGAACAUAUGUAGAGUGAGAAGAGACCCUCAACACAUGUUCUAUGUACCAUUUCACCUCAGCAGUGCACAUUUAUGUUUAGAAUCACUCGGAGACUUUAGAAUAUAAAACAUUGUCCUGGCCCUCUGCAGACCAGUUCAAUCCAAAUACCUGGGAGUAGAGGCAUCUUCUAAUUUCCCUGGGAAAGUCAGGGCUGAAAAGUACUGAGCUGCCCAUAUGCCCAAGUGGAGUUGUAUCACAGCUGAGAGAAGGUUGUCCACUGAAUUCCUUCCCCAGAGUAACAGGGGUGCAACAGCUAGGUCAUGCAGCUUGAAGCUCAUAUAAGCCAUCCACCAUAGCAACAUAAGGCAGAAGCUCUAAGAUUUAAAUUUAGCCUUCAUUUCAUGUAUGAACAAGAUACCACUUUUCUCUGUUUCGUAGGUAUGCCUUCUCAGAAUGCUGCGCUUUCCCAAGAGGUGACUGUGGAAGAGAAAGAAAUGAAUAAGGGAUUGCAGCUGGCCAGAUCCCAGGUGAGUUGUGUUUUCCUCUCUACACUGCUAUCAUUGUUCUCAGAAUGUAG
RNAcentral lists this long non-coding RNA (1729 nucleotides) under Oryctolagus cuniculus (rabbit). RNAcentral describes it as "lncRNA (ENSOCUG00000031314.1)". The record is from RNAcentral. Lineage: Eukaryota; Metazoa; Chordata; Mammalia; Lagomorpha; Leporidae.